CUUCAUUCUCCCCCAGGGGUUUCUCAUGUUUUGUUGUUUAGGUUUUGUUGUUGAUACUUUUGCUAGGCUGAAAAAUGGCCCUUCCAAAGAUAUCAUAUCUUAAUCCCUAGAACCUGUAAAAUGCUGCCUUCUUUGGGAAAAGGGUCUUCGCAGAUGUGAUUAAGACUAUUUUGAUGGGGGGGGGCGGUUAGCCUGGAUUAUCCAGGUCCCUAAAUGCAAUCACGUGUAUCUUUACAAGAGGGAGGCAGAAGAAUGAACAAACUGAGAAAGCAGUCUGAAGAUGGAACAGAGAGACAUUUGUAGAUGUUGACCUUGGAGAUUGCAGUCAUGUCCCUCCCUGCAAGGCGAGGGAUGCCUGCAGUUAUCGGAAGCUGGAAGAGUUUUCCAGGUUUGAUUUGGGGACUGGGAGACAGCAGCCUAAACUUGAUCAUCCUUUUGGCAAUUACAGGAUGCUGGAAUCGCUCCUUGAGAAGGCUGGACUUUUACAAAGGCUCUGUCAUCCAUGGAUGUCUGCCCAGGUCAGCAAUCUCUUGGUUUUCCUCUGACCGUGACGCAGAGAGGCGCUCUGGGUGGUUCUUCAGCUCCUGCUGGUGCCUCAGUUCAUACUGUCAUCUGUCUGCCUAAUACCUGAUGCUGAGGUGGGUGACUGGGUGACAGUCAUCCCGGGUCCCUUGGCCUGGAUCUCUGGAUCCAGGAUCCCACAACCCCCACAGAGGUACUUCUGUUUGUGGAUAGAUGCUGAAUUUAGCUGUUAGAAGGGGAGACCAAAAGGAGAGAUAUUUUUAUGCUGCUAUGACACUGAUGUCACUUGCCCUGUAAUGCAAUCUUUAAAUAACUGUCUACUUUCCAAGCCAGAGGGCUGCCUAGAGCUGGAGCAAGCGGAUGUGGGGAGAGAAGGUGGAAUGAGGAUCCGUGACAGCACGGCUGUAACCCAGUCUUUGCUUUUUGAUGGUGUCUUAGUCAGCUUGGGCUGCCAUAACCAGACACUAUAGACUGAGCGGCUUAAGUGAGGGAAAUUUAUUUUUGCACACCUCCAGAGGCUGGCGUCCUAGAUCAUGGUGCCAGCGUGCUGGGUUGUGGUGAGACCUCUCUUCCAGCUUGCAGACGGCUGCCUCCCUGUGGUGUGCUCACGGGGCCCGUCCUCAGUGCGAGCGUGUGGGGUGGGGAGAGAGGGAGAAAGGGAAACAGCUUUUCCUCUUGCUACAAGGCCACCAGUCCUUAUGACCUCAUCUCACCCUAAUUAUCUCCCAGAGGCCUGAUAGCUGAAUACCACCACAUGGGGGUGGGUAGAGCUUCAACACGCACAGUUUUGAGGGGACACAAUUCAGUCCAUAGCAGAUGAUGUUAAUAAUAUACUGGUUAAGUUUUAUUACUAGAUACUUGGAUUCAAGACCUAAUUUUGUCCUUUACUGACAAUGGAAAGUUUCUUUUUUUAAAUUUUGUGGUGAUCAUAAUCGCUACCAAAAAGGCUGCUUGUGAGAGUAAAGCUCCAUAAAGCACCUCACGUUGUGCAAAGCACCUGGCUACGAUUCAAUACAUGGUAGCUGUAAUUAUUAUUUUUUACUAGGAAUUUUUGAGGAAAGCUAUGUACUGCAGUGUUAUAAUAGUGUUCUUCUUAAAUGUAGAGAUGUUGGGGCUUCUGAAUACAUUCCUUAAAUAUCAACAGACUCUUUGGUCUGGAUGUCAUUUGACUAGUUACUGAAGCUCCUCCGUUCUGUGUUGAAGGAUAUAAAACUGUAUUUGCAUGCUCAUAUGCACAGAUACACAGUCAUGCAGAUUUGGGCAGAGGCUAUUUGACAGAUCUGUGUUUUUAUAAAACUUAGCAAUUAGUGUUUGUAACAACAAUUAUGGAUAAAAAUUAAAAAUAGUAAAUAUUUU
Molecule: long non-coding RNA, 1878 nt
Filed under: Sus scrofa (pig)
Lineage: Eukaryota; Metazoa; Chordata; Mammalia; Artiodactyla; Suidae
Description: lncRNA (ENSSSCG00025075528.1)
Source: RNAcentral